UGGGUUGUUAUAACAAUUUUA
Molecule: non-coding RNA, 21 nt
Filed under: Caenorhabditis elegans
Lineage: Eukaryota; Metazoa; Nematoda; Chromadorea; Rhabditida; Rhabditidae
Source: RNAcentral